Chenopodium quinoa (quinoa) is the source of this 8470-nucleotide RNA transcript. It is a transcript of the gene named MADS-box transcription factor 23-like, with no coding region annotated. The transcript has 11 exons. NCBI's taxonomy places the organism in Eukaryota, Viridiplantae, Streptophyta, Magnoliopsida, Caryophyllales, Amaranthaceae. The record is from RefSeq and is a predicted model, not a curated record.
ACUUCUGAGUAGUAUAGGGAAAGUAGAUUUCCGAGUAUUAUAACGGGUAAGGGAGUUGAUUCACCUUCCCUAAAUUUUGUGUUUGGUGAAGUAAUUUGUGUUGGAAGAUCUUUUUGACCAAAUGACCAAUUGAAGCUUGAUGUAACUUGUAAGACUAAAAUGCAUAGGCCAUGAAUUAUCAAAUGAGCAUCCUCAAAAACGUCUUCUAUGUUACCUCAACACGCUAUUGUAAUCUGACACUUCAAAACAACACAACACCCAAAUCCUUUGACACUUCACUUUCGUUUGUAUUCGUUUUUUUAGUUUUACUCACCUUUACUUUAUAAAUUUACAAUAACUUUUUAUUCAUUUUAUAUCUACAAACCCACUGACCACUUUGCGACCCAAGUAUAUUAGAUAAAGCUCAUAUUCUAUCAAUUUAUUCUUUAAACCAAAAGUAGCCAUGUACAUGGUCUCCAUAUUCACUUUUCAUUGGUUUCUAUUGGUAUAACAAUUGAGUAGAACUCAAGAAAACGAAGAGAGUAUGAAAUUUUAUUUUAAGUGUUGAUGAUAUAACGCGGUGUUGGAACACGAUACGUCGAUACCCAAUCCGAGUCUGAGCAACAUAGCAGGUCUACUUCCACAUUUCCAUUUGUGAGAGUAUAAUUGUAGAGUGUAAACUCCGUGUACAAGAAAAGUAGAGCAGCCCCCCAUCAAAUAAAAAAUAAAAUGAAAAACACCCCAUCUAAGGCAUAUUAACAAGACACCAAGAAGGGGCAGUCGUCGUUGUUUGUAUUAAAAUAAGAAAGCAGUCGUACGUCAUUAGUUGGUCUGAAUUCCAAAAUAAUUAGAUAUCUAAAAAUAGCAACCUAGGAAAUGCCACACGUCGGUGAUCUAUUAGCUAGACAACCCUUUUACUUCUAGUAGCCAAUGACAUGAAAUAGAAAUUGAUUCUUAUAGGUGAUUGAGCACAAACCCCCAAAAAUAAGUGUUUUUUGUCCCCCUUUUAAUUUCCAUUUACGUAUAAAAACUAAAUACUUUCCUUUUAUGGUUACUAACCACGAUUUGAAAUCAAAAUCAAGCACAAAGGAAAGGGAAAUCAAUUUCCAGAUUAUUGCAAACCUCAGCAAGUACUAUAUACCACAACCAACUUGUAUUUCUUCUUUCUUCUUUUGGCUGCCUUUUUACAAGUGGAUUUUCGAGCAAUUGGUCAACAAUAUGGGAAGAGGGAAGAUUGUAAUUAGAAGGAUCGACAACACAACAAGCAGGCAAGUAACAUUUUCGAAGCGAAGGAAAGGAUUGUUGAAGAAGUCAGAGGAAUUGGGCGUUCUUUGUGAUGCUGAAGUUGGGGUCAUAAUUUUUUCGAGUACAGGGAAGCUCUAUGAAUAUGCUAGCAACAGCAUGACAUCCAUAAUUGACCGCUAUAAUAAGGCAAAAGAGGAAGAAAAUCAACUGGUGAAUCCAAAUUGUGAGCUAAAGUUCUGGCAAAAGGAAGUGGCAAUGCUAAGGCAGCAACUGCAGAUCUUACAAGAAAGCCACCGGCAAAUUAUGGGGGAAGAGCUCUCUGGUCUGACAAUCAAAGAUCUACAGAAUCUUGAAAACCAACUCGAAAUGAGUUUACGAGGAGUCCGUAACAAAAAGGAUCAACUGUUGAUAAACGACAUACAAGAACUAAAUCAAAAGAGGGAGCUCAUUCGCCAAGAAAAUGUGGAGCUAUACAAAAAAGCAAAUACUAUUCGUCAAGAAAAUAUAGAGCUGUACAGAAAGGUAUAUGGAAAUGGAGAUACAAGUGGAGCCAAUGGUGCCAUGCUUAUUGAUGGUGAAGACAUGGAAGAGGAUUCAAACGGACCUGUCCAUCUACAGCUUAGUCAACCACAGCAGCAAACCCAUGCAUCACCAGGGGCUAUAAAGUUGGGCAGACUACAACUGUACUAGACAAGAUGGCUUAGUUGGAAAUACAUUUAUCCUGGUCACAAUUCCCAAGGUACAAGUUCUAUCGGCUCAAACGUGAACUAAACAGACUAUGGAUGAAGAUAGACACAAACUGGUCCUGAAAUUAAAUAAGAAACUGCAAGAAGAAAUUCAUUGUUGCAUAAGAGGGUUGAAGAUUUGGAAUAUCAAGAUAAAGUUCGAUUUCAUAUUCCCAAUACCAAAUGUAAGGACCCCUGAGACUUAUGAUGCUUAAACAUCAAAUUAUGUUUAUGGUUUGUUGUUAGUGGAUUAGAAAAAGAUAGUUAUUGAUGUUACGAAAUUAUUAAUAUGUAGAGAUGAUUGUUGUUGCACAUGUCUCAUGGCUUAUUAUUAAUGAUAUUUUUCAUAUUUUAUAGUUUAACAAUAUUUAAAAAGAACUUCCAUUUAAAAGCCUAAAUUGCAAUAUCAACUAUCUAAAAAGCUACCAAAAUUGCAAUUGUUAAAAUUUAUGACCUGCUACAAGUAUAAUCUUUAAUAGCAAUUUAUAAAACCCAACGUAGCACUCAAAGAUGAAAAACAAUGAAUACAUUCAUAACAUAAUUUAUCAAAUAAAAUUUUAGUACACUAUAGAUAAAAGUGUAGUGACUUUAAAAUCAAAGAACUACAAGCCCCAUACCACCAUUGUAAACUUCAAAAUUUGACCAUUGCAUGAAUAUAGAUGAUAGAGGUGUACUUUAUUCGGUGAUUGUCUAGACGUUAAACCAUAGAAUUUAAUCACCUUAUGGGACAAAUAAUGAACUAUUACAAAGAGAAGAAAAAAAAAAAAAAAUUGCACAAUUGUUACUAAUUUAGAGAAAGUGUAUGUACUUUAAGAAAAAACGGUAAAAAGGGGUAUACCAAAUGAAAACAACAAAUGUCGAGACAUGAGGUAUGGUGGAGCAUAGAGGAUUCCAACAUUAUAACUGGAUUGGAUUGUGUCAUUCUACUCUAAGUCUUUUCCUCUUUGUACUAGUUUUAGGAGUUAAAGAGGUCCAUUGAUUAGAUAAUUUGGUACUCCCUCCGUCCAUUGUUAUUCUUUCAUUUAGUAUCAUGCAUGUUUUGUUUGUUUUAAAAUAAUCUCAUAAGUAACCUUAAAACGGUACUUUAGUUUUGGUAAAUGAAACAAAAAAAACAAAAAAAAAAAAAAAAAAAAAAAAAAAAAACUUCUAUCCAUGGUAACUCAUUUGUUGAUUAAUAUAAUUCUUAAGGUUUAAUACCUAAAUAUAUCUUUAUUUGUCGACCACAAUUAGCAUUUCUAUGGUUAAACCCUCUCCUUCCCUAUCUUCCUUCUCUCUCCUCAUCCACCACCCCUAUGUCAACCGCUUCCUUUUCAACUACAUCUCUUUGACGCAUAACACGUCUCCAUCUUCCUUCCUCAAACUCAACCAUUUACAGUCAUUCACCCAUUUCUAAUAGUUCCCACAUGUUCUCUCCUCUCUUCAUUCUCCAUCUCCAACUUCCCUCCCCAAACCCCAUUUAAAUUCACCCUAACACCUGAUCUUCUCCUUCAAAAUUCUCUAGGGUUUAGUUAUGCACAAUUUGUCAUUGCAUCAACACUCACUGUUUUGACGUUGUCAAGGAUGUUUCUAAGUUAUUGCCUCUAGUUCAAAGAGUUGUUGCCAACGUGCUCUUACCUUGUUGUGCUUGUUAAUGUAGUGUUGCUUCAAAUAACAAGGAUCUUUUUAAAACGAUAACGAAUUUUUUUGAGAUUGUGAUUGUUCAUACGGUUUAAUUUGUUUUACUCUCUUAUUUAAUUUAGUAGUUAGUGAGCAAGAAUUCUAGAUUGAUAAUGGUUUUCUUGGUGGUAGUUUUUUUUUGGCAAGAUUUAUGUAUACCUACUAGAGUGAUGGCUAAAAAAAAGAAAUGGAGGUUGGGCAAUCAAUCGUUGAUUUGCAAGGCAGAAGAGGAAAGGAAAUAAAAUAAGAAGGCAAAAGAGAAAGGAAGGAGAUAGAGGAGGCAUAUGGAGCUAAAAAAGACGAUGGUGGCCGAAUUGUGAGCAUAGCCAGGCGAAGGUGUCCAACUUUUAGUGGAGGAUAUGGAGAUAAAAGAGAGGAGGGAGUAAGGGGGUGUCAUAAGGAAAUUUAAGCGAUUCUAUGAUUGUGCUAUUAACCAUCAUGAGAAAAUAAAAAAACUAAUUUUGUUUCUUACUAUUUGUAACAAAAGGUUAUUAAUUUGUAAGACAAAGAUAUUCCUUUGUAGCAAAUAAUAAGAAACGAAGGUAGUAUUUUAAGGUUUUAUACUUCCAUAAUGUCAUGAGGGGUAUUAAUCAAGAAUAAAAGGUUACCUUAAAUACGAAGUAUUUCUUUCGUUUACUAAAUAGAAAUAAAUAGAAAUUGCAAUUUCACAUGGUUACCAAUUAAAAUUUCCCAUUAUUUUACCAAAGAUUGUUUUAUGUUAAUUUAUGGUGAAUUUACAUAAAUAACAAAGACUACAAACAUAAGUUACUUUAGGAAUUUGAAACCCUUACAAAGCACAUCCAAGUCCCAAAAAUAGCCACAUUUAAGCUACUUUUAAGAGCUUUAUUUUCCAUUCUUUGAACACUCUAAGCUACAUUUACGAUAACAUAUUUCGCAUAGUUGAAAAAAAUACCAAUUUACGUGCAAUCAUACACCAUGCCUAUUGAUCAAAUGGAGGAAACAUAGGCAUGGUAAUUCACUAAUAAUAAUCGAAGCUUUUGAUCUAUUUUAAUAAUCCAACCUUUAAAGGUAAUUCACUUUUAUUGAUCCCAUGUGAUUGGUAACAAAAAAAAAAAAAAAAAAAAAAGGUAAUUUUGGUUUUGUUUUUUUUUUUUUGAGAGGUUUAGGUGAAGACAAGAGUUAGGGAGGAGAAGAUAGAAAUCGAUGUGAGAAGGUACAAAGGGAAUGAUGGGAAGGGAAGAAUAGGGGAUGGUAGCCUAAUAGGUGCCAUGAAAAGGGAAGGAGGAGAGAGAGAAGGGUAAGGGAGGAAAGAGAAAGAAUUCUUUUCAAAAUAAUUAAUUAACAUAAAAAAAAAUUUAGACUAAUUAAAGAGCGACAUGUGACAUGCUUAACCCAUCAAACCGAUUACCAACCGUUGAGGCGUAAGCAAAUUACCCCCUUUGUUAGAGAAUAUUCAGAACAUAUUCCCAAAGAAAAAAUGUUGAAUUGCUAGAAUAAUUUUUUCUUUUCGAAAAUACUUUAACUUCGUCGAGGAUCUACAACCCCCACUUAAUGCACAAUAAUUAAUGAAUAAGUAAUAUAGUAAUUUUUUAUUGAUAGGUCCUACUUUACAAUUACUUCAAUUAUAUAAGAGCCUCGGAAAAUGCAACAAAGUUAUUAAAUGACUAAAAAAAUUUGAACAAAACCAAGAUUUCAAUAGAUAUAAGAUUAGUGAUAGACACGUAGAAAAAAAAAACACAUAAAAUUGAAAUAUUAUGUAUAUUAUAAAAGAAAAUGCAAACAAUAAAGUGAAACACUUGAACAAAACACAUAAAAACAAUAAAGAGAGUAUUUGUGACAUGCCCGGAAAAUUGUGUUUGGUUGACAAAAAUAGCGCCAAAUUAAUGCUCAACAACAAUGAAGAAAAAAUUCAUAUAAUUUAGGCUAAUUUAGGAUAGUAAUACAUGAAGUGUCAUUUUACUAUUUUAGAAUUUAAAGGAGGCUAAACAUUAAGUACUUCAUUUUUCCAUUUGUUGCUCAAAUGAUACCUCUUGAUGAUAGGGUGAACGAACUUAAGACUCGGGAGGAGGAGAUGUAUUAGAGACAACAAAAUAGACAAAACUAAAAAUGGUGACAAAGAUAUUUCAUUUUUCCAUGUAAAGGCAAACCAAAGGAGGGCUCGAAAUCACAUUAAACCUAUUAAAGAUGAUGAGACAUGGUACAAAAAUGAGGUUUCGAUCAAGAUUGCGGAAAUGGUUGCUAUGAUUCAGUUACGGAAUAAAUGCAUUGAUCAUGGAUUGUGUCGCAAUUUGUCGCACAUGAAUUUAAAUUAUAUUUAAGUUUUAAACUAUAUGUUUUACGAUGAUUUUUAUCAUAAAUAUUGGAAAUCUUAUAUUCUUAUACAAGUAUAUUGUGUAUUCCUAUACCUCUCUUUAUAUUUUAGAAUUAAAAUCCUUAAAGUGUGUGGGAGGCCUAGGGUAGUAAAUUAGUACUCCUUUAUGAAUAAGGGAAAGAGAAGGGUGGGGCAUGGGGUUACGUGGGAUGUGAGAAGGGAAAAAAAGUAAAGGGAAAGAGAAGGGGUGGCAAGUAAAAUUUUCAAAAGAGAAUAAAAAGGGAUGUCUAAUAACCAGUACCCAACUCUAUCCUAUUUUAAUUUUUAAAACAAAAAAAAGCUUUUUUUUUAUUCGGCUAGAGAAUCUGCUAGACUUUUAUGGAGAAUUCGCAACCCCUCACCGGAAAAGUGUACAGAGAGCUUAAACCUUGGUGUUUUUACUAAGGAUAUUUGCUGGUAAUGUUUGAUGCGACCAAGUUUCAGUUCAAAACAGUCGUACCGAUCAAAAUCGCGGGGUAUUAUAAAGCAGUGUGUUGAACCGUAUAUAUCAAAACGGCAACUUGCAAAUCUGCUACGUCUGAACUGAUUCGCAAUGAAAACGACCAAUUUUCGAACAAGGGGCUGGGAAUAGUUAUAUGGAGGAAGAGCAAAUUACGAAGGUUUUUGUUAAAAAAAAAUUUGAGGAUCUUUUUGCAACGAGCAGACGGAGGUGGAGAAGAUAACCGCGGCAAUAUCAAUCGAGCAAUUCAAUAAGAUGGUUGCCCCUUUCAAUGGAGAAGAGGUGAAAAAAGCGUUGUUCCAAAUGUGUUCGACAAAAGCUCAAACGUUAUGUCUGGCAUUUUCUUCCAAAAAUUUUGAGGAGUUAUAGGUAAAGAUGUGAUUGACAAAGUUAUAAACAUCUUAGAUAAUGAGGAUAAAGGUCAUUUAAAUCAAAAUCAUAUUAAUUCAAUUCCAAAAAAGAAAUUGCGUGUCUCUUUUAAUUUUAGACCAAUUAAAUUGCGAAAUGUUUUGUAUAAAUUGUGUCAAAAGUCUUGGCAAACAAGUUAAGAGAAUCUCAGAGUUAAAAUACUCUCCAUUAUUGCCCGACGAAUAACUGAUAAUAUUCUAGUUACUUAUAGAUAUUUUCAUCAUAUCAGAAUGAAGAAAAGAGGGAAGAAAUGUGUCCUAGGCUUGAUACUUGACGUGAGUAAAGCUUACGAUAGAGUGGAAUGAGAUUUUUUUAAACAAAUGAGGUGUGUUAGCUCUACUUCUUUUGAUGUGUUAGGUGAAUGGGCAAGCCUCAAAAACUUUCAAACCAAGUAGACAGCUCCAGCAAGGGGAUCCUUUGUCUCAUUUUUUAUUCAUCAAUCAUGUGUGCAGAAGGGUUAUCUACUAACAGCGCCAAGAGGAGAAAAAUCAUCAUGGGGUUAAAAAUUAGGACUGCUAGUCUUUUUUUUUUUUUGGAUGACAGUCCUUUUUCUGUGCGUGCUAAUGAGGAAACUGAGAGUAUUUUUCAACCUAUGAAGUCGCUUCGGUAUGGAUAAAUCAGAAGUAUCUUUUAACCAAACAUAUUUCAGGAAAAGGGAAAUAUGCUGCAGAUGAAAUUAUCUUUUAAAGUUGUUGAUGGACAUGAUAAAUAUCUACAACCUACAUUAGCAGCACCGAGAAAUAGGUUUUCCAAUCUAUUCAGAAAACACUAAGGGGUGGAAAGAAAAUUUUCUUUCUCAAGUCAGGAUGUGAAAUUCUCAUUAAACCGUUGGCUUAAGCCAUCCCACUUAUGUUAUGCAACUCCAUUCCACUGAGUAUUCUUAAUGAGGUUGAAAGACGAAAACAAUUUUUGGGGGUCCACAAAGGAUGAAUGGAAGAUUUGUUGGGUUGCAUGGGAUAAGCUUAGUCUUUAAUAAGGCCUUGUUGGCCAAAACAAGGGUGGAGAAUAUUAACAUAAGAGCGGUUUUUAACGACGAGGGUUCUCAAAGGGACAUAUUUCAACUCUUCUACGUUGUUGGAAGCAAAUAAAUGUCCCAAAUAUGAGCGAGCUACACUUGGAGAUCACUCUUGAAUAGCCGGGAUGUAAUCAAGAAGGGUGCAACGAAGCAUAUAGGGAAUGGUAUGAAUAUAAAUAUUUGGGAUGAUCAAAGGGUGUCUAAACUCCCUAAUUUUCGGGGUUUCUCUACAAACGGAGGUGGGAAGGAUUUUCCGACUUUGUCAAUGAGUUGUGGGAAGGAAGGAGGUGGAAGUGCAGUACCUUAAUGGAGUUGUUUACGCCAAUACAAGUAGCAAAUAUUAGUUGUAUCCCUCUUCCAAGUUUUGGCAACUUUCAAAGGAAGAAAAUUACACCAUCAAAGAGUGUCUAUAAUAUGCUUCUAUCAGAUUAUGCAAAGACAACUAAAUCAAACUUUAGUUCUGUUUAGGGGUGAGCAUUACCGGGUAGUAAAACUAAAGACUCGCCCCGGAACUGGUUAGUAUCGGGAACAAGAUUUUGGAACCGGAUCCGGAACCAGUUAAUAUUGGGUCCAUAAUUUUCAGAUCCGGAAGUGGUAGGAACCAGCUCCAGAACCAGGUACCCGGUUGGCUUAUACAAAGUAAGAAAAUCAACGACGUCCCUCUAACAAAA